GUAGAGAUUCCUUGAAGCUCCACCUCUCAUAAGCACUCAGUAUGUCCUCUCGGUUCUGCAAAUCCAUGGCAAGUAUGAGAUCAAACUCCUUGAAAUCCGACGGCCGUAUCGGCCUCGACAUAGACGUCACCUCGAUCCCCCGCCUCUUCGCCGCCGCAAUCAUCCUCGAAUCCGCGGAAUUACCCUCGUGGUAGCCGAUGGUGCCGGCAGAGUCGAUCUUGAACGAGAACUCCAGCCCUCUCUUCUCGACGAUUUCUCUGAACACGGCCUCCGCGGCUGGACUCCGGCAGAUAUUGCCGAGGCAGACGAAGAGUACGGAGAAAGGGCGGUGCUCCACAUCGGGCGGUGGCGGCGGGGUCGGCGAUGCGGCGGAGGACGCCAUUGGCCGGAAGGGGCGGAGAGAGGGGAGUCGGUGUUUU
This 419-nucleotide unclassified non-coding RNA is filed under the name Hevea brasiliensis (rubber tree). The record is from RNAcentral. Lineage: Eukaryota; Viridiplantae; Streptophyta; Magnoliopsida; Malpighiales; Euphorbiaceae.